UCAUCUGAGAGAGAAAGAGAGAGAGGCGUUACAAAACAUCUCCCUGGUCUUCUCUGCCAGGUUGUCUCUCUCCUACCCUGUAUCCCAUCUCUCUAGUCUUCUCUGCCAGGUUAUUGUCCCUCUCCUACCCUGUAUCCCAUCUCCCUAGUCUUCUCUGCCAGGUUGUCUCUCUCCUACCCUGUAUCCCAUCUCCCUAGUCUUCUCUGCCAGGUUGUCUCUCUCCUACCCUGUAUCCCAUCUCCCUAGUCUUCUCUGCCAGGUUGUCUCUCUCCUACCCUGUAUCCCAUCUCCCUGGUCUUCUCUGCCAGGUUGUUGUCUCUCUCCUACCCUGUAUCCCAUCUCCCUAGUCUUCUCUGCCAGGUUGUCUCUCUCCUACCCUGUAUCCCAUCUCCCUAGUCUUCUCUGCCAGGUUGUCUCUCUCCUACCCUGUAUCCCAUCUCCCUAGUCUUCUCUGCCAGGUUGUCUCUCUCCUACCUUGUAUCCCAUCUCCCUAGUAUUUUCUGCCAGGUUGUCUCUCUCCUACCCUGUAUCCCAUCUCCCUAGUCUUCUCUGCCAGGUUGUCUCUCUCCUACCUUGUAUCCCAUCUCCCUAGUCUUCUCUGCCAGGUUGUCUCUCUCCUACCCUGUAUCCCAUCUCCCUAGUAUUUUCUGCCAGGUUGUCUCUCUCCUACCCUGUAUCCCAUCUCCCUAGUCUUCUCUGCCAGGUUGUCUCUCUCCUACCCUGUAUCCCAUCUCCCUAGUCUUCUCUGCCAGGUUGUCUCUCUCCUACCCUGUAUCCCAUCUCCCUAGUCUUCUCUGCCAGGUUGUCUCUCUCCUACCCUGUAUCCCAUCUCCAUAGUCUUCUCUGCCAGGUUGUCUCUCUCCUACCCUGUAUCCCAUCUCUCUAGUCUUCUCUGCCAGGUUGUCUCUCUCCUACCCUGUAUCCCAUCUCCCUAGUCUUCUCUGCCAGGUUGUCUCUCUCCUACCCUGUAUCCCAUCUCUCUAGUCUUCUUUGCCAGGUUAUUGUCUCUAGUCUUCUCUGCCAGGUUAUUGUCUCUCUGGUCUUCUCUGCCAGGUUGUUGUCUCUCUAGUCUUCUCUGCCAGGUUAUUGUCUCUCUAGUCUUCUCUGCCAGGUUAUUGUCUCUCUAGUCUUCUCUGCCAGGUUAUUGUCUCUAGUCUUCUCUGCCAGGUUAUUGUCUCUCUAGUCUUCUCUGCCAGGUUAUUGUCUCUCUAGUCUUCUCUGCCAGGUUAUUGUCUCUCUAGUCUUCUCUGCCAGGUUAUUGUCUCUCUAGUCUUCUCUGCCAGGUUAUUGUCUCUCUAGUCUUCUCUGCCAGGUUAUUGUCUCUCUAGUCUUCUCUGCCAGGUUAUUGUCUCUAGUCUUCUCUGCCAGGUUAUUGUCUCUCUAGUCUUCUCUGCCAGGUUAUUGUCUCUCUAGUCUUCUCUGCCAGGUUAUUGUCUCUGGUCUUCUCUGCCAGGUUAUUGUCUCUCUAGUCUUCUCUGCCAGGUUAUUGUCUCUCUAGUCUUCUCUGCCAGGUUAUUGUCUCUAGUCUUCUCUGCCAGGUUAUUGUCUCUAGUCUUCUCUGCCAGGUUAUUGUCCCUCUGGUCUCUCUCCUACC
This is a long non-coding RNA of Oncorhynchus keta (chum salmon), 1594 nucleotides long. RefSeq lists it as uncharacterized. The transcript is spliced from 10 exons. The record is from RefSeq and is a predicted model, not a curated record. Lineage: Eukaryota; Metazoa; Chordata; Actinopteri; Salmoniformes; Salmonidae.